RNAcentral lists this ribosomal RNA (576 nucleotides) under Enterobacterales bacterium. RNAcentral describes it as "bacterial SSU rRNA". It matches the Rfam family "Bacterial small subunit ribosomal RNA", at positions 806 to 1381 of the family's 1533-position model. Lineage: Bacteria; Pseudomonadati; Pseudomonadota; Gammaproteobacteria; Enterobacterales. The record is from RNAcentral.
ACGAUGUCGACUUGGAGGUUGUGCCCUUGAGGCGUGGCUUCCGGAGCUAACGCGUUAAGUCGACCGCCUGGGGAGUACGGCCGCAAGGUUAAAACUCAAAUGAAUUGACGGGGGCCCGCACAAGCGGUGGAGCAUGUGGUUUAAUUCGAUGCAACGCGAAGAACCUUACCUACUCUUGACAUCCAGAGAAUUCGCUAGAGAUAGCUUAGUGCCUUCGGGAACUCUGAGACAGGUGCUGCAUGGCUGUCGUCAGCUCGUGUUGUGAAAUGUUGGGUUAAGUCCCGCAACGAGCGCAACCCUUAUCCUUUGUUGCCAGCGAGUAAUGUCGGGAACUCAAAGGAGACUGCCGGUGAUAAACCGGAGGAAGGUGGGGAUGACGUCAAGUCAUCAUGGCCCUUACGAGUAGGGCUACACACGUGCUACAAUGGCAUAUACAAAGAGAAGCGAACUCGCGAGAGCAAGCGGACCUCAUAAAGUAUGUCGUAGUCCGGAUUGGAGUCUGCAACUCGACUCCAUGAAGUCGGAAUCGCUAGUAAUCGUAGAUCAGAAUGCUACGGUGAAUACGUUCCCGGGCCU